GGGCCUGUAGCUCAUUUGGAAGAGCGCCUCGUUCGCAUCGAGGAGGCAGUGGGUUCGACUCCCAUCAGGUCCA
This 73-nucleotide transfer RNA is filed under the name Planctomycetota bacterium. Its description in RNAcentral is "Planctomycetes bacterium (groundwater metagenome) tRNA-Ala". It matches the Rfam family "tRNA". Rfam says of the family: Transfer RNA (tRNA) molecules are approximately 80 nucleotides in length. Their secondary structure includes four short double-helical elements and three loops (D, anti-codon, and T loops). The record is from RNAcentral. Lineage: Bacteria; Pseudomonadati; Planctomycetota.